Acanthosepion pharaonis is the source of this 92-nucleotide non-coding RNA. The record is from the annotation of a GenBank genome assembly. NCBI's taxonomy places the organism in Eukaryota, Metazoa, Mollusca, Cephalopoda, Sepiida, Sepiidae.
AAAACACCAAUUCUCAUUGGAUCACUGAAGUUAAGCAGUGUCAAGCAUGGUCAGUAUUUAGAUGGGGGACCACAUGGGAAUAGCAGGAACUA